RNAcentral lists this ribosomal RNA (466 nucleotides) under uncultured bacterium. RNAcentral describes it as "bacterial SSU rRNA". It matches the Rfam family "Bacterial small subunit ribosomal RNA", at positions 917 to 1382 of the family's 1533-position model. The record is from RNAcentral.
GGGCCCGCACAAGCGGCGGAGCAUGUGGAUUAAUUCGAUGCAACGCGAAGAACCUUACCUGGGUUUGACAUACACCGGACGACUGCAGAGAUGUGGUUUCCCUUGUGGUCGGUGUACAGGUGGUGCAUGGCUGUCGUCAGCUCGUGUCGUGAGAUGUUGGGUUAAGUCCCGCAACGAGCGCAACCCUUGUCCUGUGUUGCCAGCACGUAAUGGUGGGGACUCGCAGGAGACUGCCGGGGUCAACUCGGAGGAAGGUGGGGACGACGUCAAGUCAUCAUGCCCCUUAUGUCCAGGGCUUCACACAUGCUACAAUGGCCGGUACAGAGGGCUGCGAGACCGUGAGGUGGAGCGAAUCCCUUGAAAGCCGGUCUCAGUUCGGAUCGGGGUCUGCAACUCGACCCCGUGAAGUUGGAGUCGCUAGUAAUCGCAGAUCAGCAACGCUGCGGUGAAUACGUUCCCGGGCCUU